This 364-nucleotide transfer-messenger RNA is filed under the name Christensenellales. RNAcentral describes it as "Limadaptatus sp900554085 Standard tmRNA". It matches the Rfam family "transfer-messenger RNA". Rfam says of the family: Bacterial tmRNA, also known as 10Sa RNA or SsrA, is named for its dual tRNA and mRNA-like properties. Its role is to liberate the mRNA from a stalled ribosome. To accomplish this part of the tmRNA is used as a reading frame that ends in a translation stop signal. Lineage: Bacteria; Bacillati; Bacillota; Clostridia. RNAcentral also lists the same sequence under 2 other names. The record is from RNAcentral.
GGGGGUGUAACGGCUUCGACAUUCGGUUUGAGGCGGAGUAAGCAUACCGCAGGCUCGUCUGCGUCAAAAACGGAACGCAAAUAAUUAAACGCGAACAAAAAUUCUGAGAACUCCUCUAUGGAGUUCGCCCUCGCUGCAUAAUUUAGUCAGCGCGUCGCCGUCGGGUUUUCCGUUCCCCGACCAAGCGGCGUCAUAAAAACGGACAACGCAAUCCCAGCGCCCGGUAAGAUUGCUGUUUCACGGGCUCAUCAAUCCGCGGCUUGCCGUUGUGCCAAGGUGCGAAAAAUCCAAACAUCGGCUAAGUAUGUAGAAAGCGCCGUCAAUGGUCGUCUGGACCGGGGUUCGACUCCCCGCACCUCCACCA